AUUUUUAUAAAAAAUAAUUAUUCUCUAUAAAAUAUCUUGUUUUUCAUUGUAAACCGAGUUUGGUUACUAUGGAAAUUUUGUCAAAGAUAUGCUGUAUAUAUGUUUGUGUUAUUUUUUGCUAUUAUAGGUUCUGUAGUUGGCCAUGGACAUGGUCUUCCACCUUGUUGUGAAAUGUUAAGACCAUGUGAUCCGAUUGUUUGUGAUAGACCUCCAUGUUACCUCCCUCUAUCUAGUGAUGUUAGUGAUGUUAAACCCUAAAACUAUGCAACUC
Molecule: long non-coding RNA, 271 nt
Filed under: Cicer arietinum (chickpea)
Lineage: Eukaryota; Viridiplantae; Streptophyta; Magnoliopsida; Fabales; Fabaceae
Description: long non-coding RNA (CARI_LNC003240)
Source: RNAcentral